UUAUAGUUUCACAUAUUCAAUAAUCCUCAAUAAUUCAUUCAGUGACUGAACCAGAUUUUUCUGUUUUUCUAGAUUUUCUAUUAAUGUCCACGUUGACACCUCUGUAAUCAGAUUCAGGGGUUUUAUUUACAGAAUAUAAUAUUCUAAUAAUAUUCUGUUUAAUCUUGGUUGUUACAUCAGAAUGAGGCCUGGCUUUGAGCACUGAGGCUCCUUUGACACCUGGAGGUCAUUUCACUCUGAAACCUUCCUGAGGACACGUGUGACAUCAGUGAGGGUAUAAAUAGGAGAUAUUACAUGCAAGAAUUAUUAUAUUAAUGAGCUCAUUUCUUUUCCAGGCUGAGUCUGCCGCCAUCACAGAACAGACACUCUUCAGCGUGUUAAACUAAGGGGAAAAAACUUGACAGUGAACGCACCUUCAGACCAAAUAUGUAACCAUUUAUUGUUAGAAUCAUCCUUCCAAUACAGAACACAGCUAAUACAGAUUAAAAACAACAACAAGAGAACAGUAUUGUGUCGGAGUUGGAUGGUUGCGUCGAGAAAAAUACAGCAAGAUUUUUUUAUUUUGAGAAAAUCGUCAUGUGGUCAUUCAGGAGAAAAAAUAUAGAAGGCAAAGACUUACAGUAUAAAAUGUACAGCCACAUGAUUAUAUAAUAUAUAAUAUAUAUAUAACAUUGCACAUUAUACCAAAAAACAGGAACCACACAUGAAAAACAAAAGAAGUGUACACAAUAUACAACAAACAAGGCACUGUGGAAGAAACCUGCACGCGUCUUUGGAUGGAUCUGCCGCCCGCGGAGCUCCGGUGAAAUGUUGUAGGAAUGUUACACUGCAAACCGUCCAACCGAGGAAGUCAUCCAAACUAAAA
Molecule: long non-coding RNA, 865 nt
Organism: Larimichthys crocea (large yellow croaker)
Lineage: Eukaryota; Metazoa; Chordata; Actinopteri; Sciaenidae
Exons: 2
Source: RefSeq, a predicted model, not a curated record